GAGUUUUGAACGGGUUGUUGCUGGCCUCGUACGGGGCAUGUGCACGCCUGACUUCAUCCACUCUUCAACCUCUGUGCACUUAUUGUAGGCUAGUGUGAAAGGUUGCAUUUAUUUGCGACUGGAAGCCUGUCUACGUUUUACUACAAACGCUUCAGUUAUAGAAUGUUUAUCUGCGUAUAACGCAUUUAUAUACAACUUUCAGCAACGGAUCUCUUGGCUCUCGCAUCGAUGAAGAACGCAGCGAAAUGCGAUAAGUAAUGUGAAUUGCAGAAUUCAGUGAAUCAUCGAAUCUUUGAACGCACCUUGCGCUCCCUGGUAUUCCGGGGAGCAUGCCUGUUUGAGUGUCAUGGAAUUCUCAACCUCUAAUACUUUUUUGUAUCAGAAGCUUGGAUUUGGAGGCUUGUGCUGGCUCUAACGAGUCCGGCUCCUCUUAAAUGAAUUAGCGUGAAUCACUAUGGAUCGCUUCGGUGUGAUAAUUAUCUGCGCCGUGGUCGUGAAGUAUUAAUCAAGUUCUCGCUUCUAAUCGUCCUUCACGGGACAAUUAACCCUGACUUUUGACCUCAAAUCAGGUAGGACUACCCGCUGAACUUAAGCAUAUCAAUAAGCGGAGGAAAAGAAACUAACAAGGAUUCCCCUAGUAACUGCGAGUGAAGCGGGAAAAGCUCAAAUUUAAAAUCUGGUAGCCUUUGGUUGCCCGAGUUGUAGUCUGGAGAAGCGUCUUCCGCGC
RNAcentral lists this ribosomal RNA (727 nucleotides) under uncultured fungus. RNAcentral describes it as "eukaryotic LSU rRNA". The stretch from base 194 to 347 matches the Rfam family "5.8S ribosomal RNA". Lineage: Eukaryota; Fungi. The record is from RNAcentral.